Molecule: ribosomal RNA, 1422 nt
Filed under: metagenome
Description: bacterial SSU rRNA
Rfam family: Bacterial small subunit ribosomal RNA
Source: RNAcentral
AGGGGUAACGAUGGUUUCGGCCAGGCGACGACCGGCGCACGGGUGAGUAACGCGUAUGCAACCUACCAUUAACUGGGGGAUAGCCCGAAGAAAUUCGGAUUAAUACCCCAUGACACUAUGAUAUCACCUGGUAUUAUAGUUAAAGCUCCGGCGGUUUUUGAUGGGCAUGCGUGACAUUAGAUUGUUGGUGAGGUAACGGCUCACCAAGUCUACGAUGUCUAGGGGGUCUGAGAGGAUGGUCCCCCACACUGGUACUGAGACACGGACCAGACUCCUACGGGAGGCAGCAGUGAGGAAUAUUGGGCAAUGGACGCAAGUCUGACCCAGCCAUGCCGCGUGCAGGAUGACGGCCCUACGGGUUGUAAACUGCUUUUAUACGGGAAGAAACCUCGGGACGUGUCCUGAGCUGACGGUACCGUAAGAAUAAGCACCGGCUAACUCCGUGCCAGCAGCCGCGGUAAUACGGAGGGUGCAGGCGUUAUCCGGAUUUAUUGGGUUUAAAGGGUGCGCAGGCGGACCUAUAAGUCAGUGGUGAAAUCCUACAGCUUAACUGUAGAACUGCCAUUGAUACUGUAGGUCUUGAGUCUGGUUGAGGUAGGCGGAAUGUGUCAUGUAGCGGUGAAAUGCUUAGAGAUGACACAGAACACCGAUUGCGAAGGCAGCUUACUAAACCAGUACUGACGCUGAGGCACGAAAGCGUGGGGAGCGAACAGGAUUAGAUACCCUGGUAGUCCACGCCGUAAACGAUGAAUACUCGCUGUUAGCGAUACACAGUUAGCGGCUAAGCGAAAGCAUUAAGUACUCCACCUGGGGAGUACGUUCGCAAGAAUGAAACUCAAAGGAAUUGACGGGGGCCCGCACAAGCGGAGGAACAUGUGGUUUAAUUCGAUGAUACGCGAGGAACCUUACCUGGGCUUAAAUGUAGUUUGAUUUUACUGGAAACGGUAUUUCCCUUCGGGGCAGAUUACAAGGUGCUGCAUGGUUGUCGUCAGCUCGUGCCGUGAGGUGUCGGGUUAAGUCCCAUAACGAGCGCAACCCCUAUUCUUAGUUGCCAGCGGGUAAUGCCGGGGACUCUAAGGAGACUGCCAGUGUAAACUGUGAGGAAGGUGGGGAUGACGUCAAAUCAGCACGGCCCUUAUGUCCAGGGCUACACACGUGUUACAAUGGCCGAUACAAAGGGCAGCUACCUGGUGGCAGGAUGCUAAUCUCGAAAGUCGGUCUCAGUUCGGAUCGAAGUCUGCAACUCGACUUCGUGAAGUUGGAUUCGCUAGUAUCGUAUAUCAGCAAUGAUACGGUGAAUACGUUCCCGGGCCUUGUACACACCGCCCGUCAAACCAUGGAAGCUGGGGGUACCUGAAGUACGUAACCGUAAGGAGCGUCCUAGGGUAAAUCUGGUAACUGGGGUUAAGUCGAAACAAGGUA